This 1281-nucleotide long non-coding RNA is filed under the name Felis catus (domestic cat). RNAcentral's name for it is "lncRNA (ENSFCAG00000049889.1)". The record is from RNAcentral. Lineage: Eukaryota; Metazoa; Chordata; Mammalia; Carnivora; Felidae.
CCUGGCUUCAGGGUGCAGCCCCCUCCCCCUCAGCACUGUCUACCCCCCUCAGUACUCUCUAUCCCCCCUCAGUACUCUCCCCCCAAGUACUGCCUAUCCCCCCUCAGUAACUCUCUAUCCCCCCAGUACUGUCUAUCCCCCCCAGUACUGUCUAUCCCCCCCAGUACUGUCUAUCCCCCCUCAGUACUCUCUACCCCCCUCAGUACUGUCUAUCCCCCUCAGUACUAUCUAUCCCCCCCAGUACUAUCCCCCCCAGUACUCUCUAUCCCCCCCAGUACUGUCUAUCCCCCUCAGUACUCUCUAUCCCCCCAGUACUCUCUACCCCCCUCAGUAAUCUCUAUCCCCCCCCAGUACUGUCUAUCUCCCCAAUACUGUCUAUCCCCCCAGUACUCUCUACCCCCCUCAGUACUGUCUAUCCCCCUCAGUACUAUCUAUCUCCCCAGUACUCUCUAUCUCCCCUCAGUACUCUCUACCCCCCCAGUACUGUCUAUCCCCCUCAGUACUCUCUACCCCCCCAGUACUAUCCCCCCCAGUACUGUCUAUCCCCCCUCAGUACUCUCUAUCCCCCUCCGUACUCUCUAUCCCCCCCAGUACUCUCUAUCCCCCCCAGUACUGUCUAUCCCCCCCAGUACUCUCUAUCCCCCUCCGUACUCUCUAUCCCCCCCGUACUCUCUAUCCCCCCCAGUACUGUCUAUCCCCCCAGUACUGUCUAUCCCCCCUCAGUACUCUCUACCCCCCUCAGUACUCUCUAUCCCCCCCAGUACUCUCUACCCCCCUCAGUACUCUCUACCCCCCUCAGUACUCUCUACCCCCCCAGUACUCUCUAUCCCCCCCAGUUACUGUCUAUCCCCCCCAGUACUCUCUAUCUCCCCUCAGUACUCUCUAUCCCCCUCAGUACUCUCUACCCCCCUCAGUACUGUCUAUCCCCCCCAGUACUGUCUAUCCCCCCCAGUACUGUCUAUCCCCCCCCAGUACUCUCUAUCCCCCCCCAGUACUCUCUAUCCCCCCCAGUACUCUCUAUCCCCCUCAGUACUAUCUAUCCCCCCCAGUACUCUCUAUCCCCCCUCAGUACUCUCUACCCCCCUCAGUACUCUCUAUCCCCUCUCCUGCUUUUUUCUUAACAUCUAUCACCACCCAAAAUGCCAUGUAUUUGAGCAUAUCUUUUGUCUGUCUCUCUUAUCAAAACGUAAACUCCAUGGGGACAGGGACUUUUGUCUGCUUUAUUCUCUGUACCUACAGCAAAACCUGGGUUAUAGGACUCAAGAGACACUAAAUGCAUGA